RNAcentral lists this ribosomal RNA (460 nucleotides) under uncultured bacterium. RNAcentral's name for it is "partial 16S ribosomal RNA". It matches the Rfam family "Bacterial small subunit ribosomal RNA", at positions 338 to 795 of the family's 1533-position model. The record is from RNAcentral.
CCUACGGGAGGCAGCAGUGAGGAAUAUUGGUCAAUGGCCGGAAGGCUGAACCAGCCAUGCCGCGUGAAGGUCAGUGCCCUCUGGGCGUUUAACUUCUUUUGUGCGGGAGCAAUAAUGGUCACGUGUGGCCAGACGAGAGUACCGUAAGAAUAAGCAUCGGCUAACUCCGUGCCCGCAGCCGCGGUAAUACGGGGGAUGCAAGCGUUAUCCGGAUUUAUUGGGUUUAAAGGGGGCGUAGGCUGUGAGGUAAGUCAGCGGUGAAAUGCCCCCGCUCAACGGGGUGAAGUGCCAUUGAUACUGCCUUGCUGGAAUGCGGAUGCGGUGGGAGGAAUGUGUGGUGUAGCGGUGAAAUGCAUAGAUAUCACACAGAACACCGAUUGCGAAGGCAGCUCACGAAUCCGCGAUUGACGCUGAUGCACGAAAGCGUGGGUAUCAAACAGGAUUAGAUACCCCGGUAGUC